AGUGAACGCUGGCGGUAGGCCUAACACAUGCAAGUCGAACGGCAGCACAGUAAGAGCUUGCUCUUACGGGUGGCGAGUGGCGGACGGGUGAGGAAUACAUCGGAAUCUACUUUUUCGUGGGGGAUAACGUAGGGAAACUUACGCUAAUACCGCAUACGACCUACGGGUGAAAGCAGGGGAUCUUCGGACCUUGCGCGAUUGAAUGAGCCGAUGUCGGAUUAGCUAGUUGGCGGGGUAAAGGCCCACCAAGGCGACGAUCCGUAGCUGGUGUGAGAGGAUGGUCAGCCACACUGGAACUGAGACACGGUCCAGACUCCUACGGGAGGGAGCAGUGGGGAAUAUUGGACAAAGGGCGCAAGCCUGAUCCAGCCAUACCGCGUGGGUGAAGAAGGCCUUCGGGUUGUAAAGCCCUUUUGUUGGGAAAGAAAAGCAGCAGGUUAAUACCCCGCUGUUCUGACGGUACCCAAAGAAUAAGCACCGGCUAACUUCGUG
Molecule: ribosomal RNA, 492 nt
Filed under: uncultured bacterium
Lineage: Bacteria
Description: partial 16S ribosomal RNA
Rfam family: Bacterial small subunit ribosomal RNA
Source: RNAcentral